AUGAUGAGAGUCAGGAAAUAGGAAGUGCCGUCUGAUGCGAUAACUGACGAUGUUUCCUGC
This 60-nucleotide small nucleolar RNA is filed under the name Pelobates cultripes (western spadefoot toad). It matches the Rfam family "Small nucleolar RNA SNORD49", at positions 5 to 62 of the family's 71-position model. Rfam says of the family: U49 belongs to the C/D class of snoRNA which contain the C (UGAUGA) and D (CUGA) box motifs. Most of the members of the box C/D family function in directing site-specific 2'-O-methylation of substrate RNAs. Lineage: Eukaryota; Metazoa; Chordata; Amphibia; Anura; Pelobatidae. The record is from RNAcentral.